Long non-coding RNA from Gopherus evgoodei (Goodes thornscrub tortoise), 1105 nucleotides. RefSeq lists it as uncharacterized. The record is from RefSeq and is a predicted model, not a curated record. NCBI's taxonomy places the organism in Eukaryota, Metazoa, Chordata, Testudines, Testudinidae. The transcript is spliced from 2 exons.
CUUCACAUCCGCUUUCUCGAAUCCAGCACACAUCGUGCACGGUUAAACUCUAGGAUCAUGAGCCUACUACAGAAGAGGAACCACGGACGCACAAGGAGGUGGCUGGUGCACGCACGGGGCCCACCGUUGGCCAAUGGCAGCUCCUGAAUCGCCCAUCAACGCGAGCUCCAGGAUUCAGCUCCAGCUGCUGCCGGGGCCGGGACAGAGGUCCAGCUACAGUAGGCCGCAGCCCAGCAGCUGCAGCAACAGCAGGCGGGAGGAAGAGGAGUAGGGUACAUCUGUACGCAAUGCAAGUCUUUUCUGCAGGCGGACGUUGGAAUGGGGUCUAAGGAGAUGGUUUGCUGCAUGCUGUCCGCCUUGCAACCGAGCCUGUCAUUUUAAAAGCAAACAAACCCUACCGCUAUUUGCAAGUUACUGAAUUAGUUCCAGGAGACUGGCCGGGAGGUCGGCAGAGCCAUUUGCACUGGGUGGGGGAAAGUUCCUCUGAAAUGUAUUAAAUCUGCUGAGUUCAGAAAUCAAAUGCAACAAAACAAAAGGAUCCUGUAUCGGUCUAAUUUAGGGUGAUCAGAUGUCCCGAUUUUAGGGUCUUUUUCUUACAUAAGCCUAUCCAGUUUUUUCACAUUUGCUGUCUUGUCACCCUAUUCUAAUUCGAACUGUGGCUGCCCUCCAAACUAUUGGAAAAUCUGAAGGUGGGGGUGGGUUAUCAUUACAGUCAUCCAAUUCCUAGCUGCAAAGUAUUCAACUUCUGCAGCACCCCAAAAAUAGUCCUGGUGUCAUCCUUGCAAGAUGUGUCUGUUAACUAGCUUUGGACAUUUUUGCAGGAUAACCCUGAUAUCUACAACUCCUAAAAUACAAUCUGCUAAACUUAAAAUUAAAAAAAUCUCCAAAGAGGGCACGAGAAACAGAAAGCCACCAGUCAAUUGUGUGUAGCUCUGAAUCAUAGAACCACAAAGUUAAAAGGGACCGCAAAGGUCAUCUGGCCUAACCCCCAACCAUCCUUGAUGAUGGAGGCUUGUGUGAUUAACAGCAGACAGCAAAAGCAUUGCAUCAUGUAUUGGAAGCUUGAGAUCUCUUGAUAUUGCAACAUAAAAAAACCAGUUGAUAA